GAUGAACGCUGGCGGCGUGCCUAAUACAUGCAAGUCGAGCGAACAGACGAGGAGCUUGCUCCUUCGACGUUAGCGGCGGACGGGUGAGUAACACGUAGGUCACCUACCUAUAAGACUGGGAUAACUUCGGGAAACCGGAGCUACUACUGGAUAAUAUUUCGAACCGCAUGGUUCGAUAGUGAAAGAUGGCUUUGCUAUCACUUAUAGAUGGACCCGCGCCGUAUUAGCUAGUUGGUAAGGUAACGGCUUACCAAGGCAACGAUACGUAGCCGACCUGAGAGGGUGAUCAGCCACACUGGAACUGAGACACGGUCCAGACUCCUACGGGAGGCAGCAGUAGGGAAUCUUCGGCAAUGGGCGAAAGCCUGACGGAGCAACACCGCGUGAGUGAUGAAGGUCUUCGGAUCGUAAAACUCUUUUAUUAGGGAAGAACAAACGUGUAAGUAACUGUGCACGUCUUGACGGUACCUAAACAGAAAGCCACGGCUAACUUCGUG
RNAcentral lists this ribosomal RNA (497 nucleotides) under uncultured bacterium. RNAcentral's name for it is "partial 16S ribosomal RNA". It matches the Rfam family "Bacterial small subunit ribosomal RNA", at positions 28 to 507 of the family's 1533-position model. The record is from RNAcentral.